AUGAACGCUGGCGGCGUGCCUAAUACCUGCAAGUCGAGCGAACAGACGAGGAGCUUGCUCCUCUGACGUUAGCGGCGGACGGGUGAGUAACACGUGGAUAACCUACCUAUAAGACUGGGAUAACUUCGGGAAACCGGAGCUAAUACCGGAUAAUAUAUUGAACCGCAUGGUUCAAUAGUGAAAGACGGUUUUGCUGUCACUUAUAGAUGGAUCCGCGCCGCAUUAGCUAGUUGGUAAGGUAACGGCUUACCAAGGCGACGAUGCGUAGCCGACCUGAGAGGGUGAUCGGCCACACUGGAACUGAGACACGGCCCAGACUCCUACGGGAGGCAGCAGUAGGGAAUCUUCCGCAAUGGGCGAAAGCCUGACGGAGCAACGCCGCGUGAGUGAUGAAGGUCUUCGGAUCGUAAAACUCUGUUAUUAGGGAAGAACAAAUGUGUAAGUAACUAUGCACGUCUUGACGGUACCUAAUCAGAAAGCCACGGCUAACUACGUG
Molecule: ribosomal RNA, 496 nt
Filed under: uncultured bacterium
Lineage: Bacteria
Description: partial 16S ribosomal RNA
Rfam family: Bacterial small subunit ribosomal RNA
Source: RNAcentral